This 588-nucleotide ribosomal RNA is filed under the name Triticum aestivum (bread wheat). RNAcentral describes it as "partial small subunit ribosomal RNA". Lineage: Eukaryota; Viridiplantae; Streptophyta; Magnoliopsida; Poales; Poaceae. The record is from RNAcentral.
AUGGAUGACACAAUGUAUCGCCAGCUAGAUAGAGAUCCCGGGUCUUCGAGAACCGUGUUCAUGGGACAUCGAAGGUGGCUUCGCGACGAUGACCCGUGGAGGAAACGCACGGAUCUGUUCGAUGGUGAAACCGAAGCCCGAAAACGCCUGUGUACGAGGAGCGGCGAGGAAAUAGACGAGCUAUUGAAAAAUUGGAAAGACUGCCCACUACCGGGAAAGAAGCAAAAGGCGCCAGAGCCGGGAAAGAAGCGAAAGGCGCCAGAGCCGCUGCUGAAGGUAUGGAAAACGAGGUCUGUUUUCUGGGACUUGCCGUACUGGAAGAUCCACCGUGUGCCGCACAGCCUUGAGGUCAUGCAUAUCACGAAGAACGUGUGCGAGAGUCUGCUUGGUACCCUGCUCAACAUGCCAGAGAGGACCAAAGAUGGGCCAAAAGCAAGGGCAGACUUGAAAUCAAUGGGCAUCAGGCAGGAGCUUCACGCUAAUGAUGAUGAUGAUGAGGCGAAGCAGGACACAGAAAGUCGUCGCAAAGGCAAAAAGGCCAAGAAGACCAGAAAUGACUACCCUCCCACGUGCUUCACUCUAAGUUAG